UAGUGCACGGUUUGACUGUUAUUUGCUGUCUUUCUCGUUUCGAUGCAGUACUUAAAGUGAACUAUUAAGCAUUUCAAAAUGUUUGUUAAGUAGCGUAAAAUGUGGUAAAGCAGAUGAAGUGUGCAUACAACAUUAUAGUGAAAUCCAUGUGAAAGGAAAAUAGCAUUAUCCAGGCUGUUCUUCAAUUGCAAACAAAGAGAAUUAAGAUGGAAACAAAUGCAAAAUAUCCAACUGAAAUUCUCUUCAUAUUUGUGGUAAUUUUGGAAAAUAUUCUGUCCAGAGAAUAACACCUUAAAAGAAAGAACUGUGUGAUAAU
This is a long non-coding RNA of Daphnia pulex (common water flea), 316 nucleotides long. RefSeq lists it as uncharacterized. The transcript has 3 exons. The record is from RefSeq and is a predicted model, not a curated record. NCBI's taxonomy places the organism in Eukaryota, Metazoa, Arthropoda, Branchiopoda, Diplostraca, Daphniidae.